UACGAAGGGGGCUAGCGUUGUUCGGAUUUACGGGGCGUAAAGCGCACGUAGGCGGAUCGAUCAGUCAGGGGUGAAAUCCCAGAGCUCAACUCUGGAACUGCCUUUGAUACUGUCGAUCUGGAGUAUGGAAGAGGUGAGUGGAAUUCCGAGUGUAGAGGUGAAAUUCGUAGAUAUUCGGAGGAACACCAGUGGCGAAGGCGGCUCACUGGUCCAUUACUGACGCUGAGGCGCGAAAGCGUGGGGAGCAAACAGG
Molecule: ribosomal RNA, 253 nt
Filed under: uncultured bacterium
Lineage: Bacteria
Description: partial 16S ribosomal RNA
Rfam family: Bacterial small subunit ribosomal RNA
Source: RNAcentral